GGGCUCGUAGUGAAGCGGUUAUCACGCCUCCCUGUCACGGAGGAGAUCGCCGGUUCAAGUCCGGUCGGGCCCGCCA
RNAcentral lists this transfer RNA (76 nucleotides) under Patescibacteria group bacterium. RNAcentral's name for it is "tRNA-Asp". It matches the Rfam family "tRNA". From Rfam's summary of the family: Transfer RNA (tRNA) molecules are approximately 80 nucleotides in length. The record is from RNAcentral.